Molecule: ribosomal RNA, 467 nt
Filed under: uncultured bacterium
Lineage: Bacteria
Description: partial 16S ribosomal RNA
Rfam family: Bacterial small subunit ribosomal RNA
Source: RNAcentral
GAUGAACGCUGGCGGCGUGCUUAACACAUGCAAGUCGAACGGAAAGGCCCAAGCUUGCUUGGGUACUCGAGUGGCGAACGGGUGAGUAACACGUGGGUGAUCUGCCCUGCACUUCGGGAUAAGCCUGGGAAACUGGGUCUAAUACCGGAUAGGACGAUGGUUUGGAUGCCAUUGUGGAAAGUUUUUUCGGUGUGGGAUGAGCUCGCAGCCUAUCAGCUUGUUGGUGGGGUAAUGGCCUCCAAGGCGUCGACGGGUAGCCGGCCUGAGAGGGUGUACGGCCACAUUGGGACUGAGAUACGGCCCAGACUCCUACGGGAGGCAGCAGUGGGGAAUAUUGCACAAUGGGCGCAAGCCUGAUGCAGCGACGCCGCGUGGGGGAUGACGGCCUUCGGGUUGUAAACUCCUUUCGCUAGGGACGAAGCGUUUUUGUGACGGUACCUGGAGAAGAAGCACCGGCUAACUACGUG